RNAcentral lists this ribosomal RNA (252 nucleotides) under uncultured bacterium. RNAcentral describes it as "partial 16S ribosomal RNA". It matches the Rfam family "Bacterial small subunit ribosomal RNA", at positions 524 to 776 of the family's 1533-position model. The record is from RNAcentral.
UACGGAGGAUGCGAGCGUUAUCCGGAUUUAUUGGGUUUAAAGGGUGCGUAGGCGGGAUGCCAAGUCAGCGGUAAAAAUGCGGUGCUCAACGCCGUCGAGCCGUUGAAACUGGCGUUCUUGAGUGGGCGAGAAGUAUGCGGAAUGCGUGGUGUAGCGGUGAAAUGCAUAGAUAUCACGCAGAACUCCGAUUGCGAAGGCAGCAUACCGGCGCCCUAUUGACGCUGAGGCACGAAAGCGUGGGUAUCGAACAGG